Molecule: ribosomal RNA, 497 nt
Filed under: uncultured bacterium
Lineage: Bacteria
Description: bacterial SSU rRNA
Rfam family: Bacterial small subunit ribosomal RNA
Source: RNAcentral
CGAGUUUGAUCCUGGCUCAGGAUGAACGCUAGCGGCAGGCUUAACACAUGCAAGUCGAGGGGGUAUUGGUUUUCGGACCAAGAGACCGGCGCACGGGUGCGUAACGCGUAUGCAAUCUACCUUUGCAGAGGAUAGCCCAGAGAAAUUUGGAUUAAUACCUCAUAGUAUAGUACUUUGGCAUCAAGGAACUAUUAAAGUCACAACGGCAAAAGAUGAGCAUGCGUCCCAUUAGCUAGUUGGUAAGGUAACGGCUUACCAAGGCUACGAUGGGUAGGGGUUCUGAGAGGGAGAUCCCCCACACUGGUACUGAGACACGGACCAGACUCCUACGGGAGGCAGCAGUGAGGAAUAUUGGACAAUGGGCGCAAGCCUGAUCCAGCCAUGCCGCGUGCAGGAUGACGGUCCUAUGGAUUGUAAACUGCUUUUAUACAGGAAGAAACACUCCGACGUGUCGGAGCUUGACGGUACUGUAAGAAUAAGGAUCGGCUAACUCCGUG